GACGAAGGGGGCUAGCGUUGUUCGGAAUUACUGGGUGUAAAGCGCGUGUAGGCGGUUGUUCAAGUCGGGUGUGAAAGCCUUGAGCUCAACUCAAGAAAUGCACUCGAUACUGGAUGACUUGAGGACCGGAGAGGAUAGUGGAAUUCCCAGUGUAGUGGUGAAAUACGUAGAGAUUGGGAAGAACACCAGUGGCGAAGGCGGCUAUCUGGACGGUUUCUGACGCUAAGACGCGAAAGCGUGGGGAGCAAACAGG
This 253-nucleotide ribosomal RNA is filed under the name uncultured bacterium. RNAcentral's name for it is "partial 16S ribosomal RNA". It matches the Rfam family "Bacterial small subunit ribosomal RNA", at positions 524 to 776 of the family's 1533-position model. The record is from RNAcentral.